AUUGAACGCUGGCGGCAUGCUUUACACAUGCAAGUCGAACGGUAACAGGCCUUCGGGUUCUGACGACUGGCGGCCGGUGGCGUACUGCAUCGGAACGUGCCCAGAGGUGGUGGUUAACGCGGCGAAAGCUGGGCUAACAUCCCCUGAGAUCUGAUAAUGAAAGCGGGUGACCGAGCGGCAUCGUUUGGCCUCGCGCCUCUGGAUGGGCCGAUGUCGGAUUAGGUAGUUGGCGGGGUAAAGGCCCACCAAGCCGACGACCCGUAGCUGGUCUGAGAGGAUGAUCAGCCACACUGGAACUGAGACACGGUCCAGACUCCUACGGGAGGCAGCAGUGGGGAAUUUUGGACAAUGGGCGCAAGCCUGAUCCAGCCAUGCCGCGUGGGGGAAGAAGGCCUUCGGGUUGUAAAGCCCUUUUGUUGGGAAAGAAAAGCAGCUGGCUAAUACCCCGCGGUGAUGACGGUACCGAAAGAAUAAGCACCGGCUAACUACGUG
This 492-nucleotide ribosomal RNA is filed under the name uncultured bacterium. Its description in RNAcentral is "partial 16S ribosomal RNA". It matches the Rfam family "Bacterial small subunit ribosomal RNA", at positions 30 to 507 of the family's 1533-position model. The record is from RNAcentral.